AUGACCAGGGAGAAGAUCCGCUCCCUGCGGAGGGAUCACAAGCCCAGCAAAGAGGACAGGGACGUGCUGGAGCCCUGCGAGGAGGAGGCGACACGGCCGGCCCUGGCGGGGCGCCGCAGCACAACGCAGUGACUGCCACCUGCCCAGCCCCGGCCUGCCUGGGCGGCAGCAACCCCACUUUGGUCGCUGACGGAGGUGGCUGCCCCUCGCUCUACCCGGUCCACGAGUGCGUCUUUAAGGGGGACGUGAGGAGACUGUCCUCGCUCAUCCGCAUGCACAAUAUCGGACAGAAAGAUAAUCAUGUCACAGCUCUUCUAAGGAAACUCAAGCAGCAAUCUAGGGAGAGUGUUGGAGAAAAACGACCUAGGUUGUAAAAAGCCCUAAAAGAGUUAGGUGACUUUUACCUAGAACUUCACUGGGAUUUUCAAAGCUGGGUGCCUUUGCUUUCCCGAAUUCUGCCUUCUGAUGCCUGUAAAAUAUACAAGCAAGGUAUCAACAUCAGGCUUGACACAACUCUCAUAGACUUUACUGACAUGAAGUGCCAACGAGGGGAUCUAAGCUUCAUCUUCAAUGGGGAUGCUGCACCCUCUGAGUCUUUUGUAGUGUUAGACAAUGAACAAAAAGUUUAUCAGCGAAUACACCAUGAGGAGUCAGAGAUGGAAACAGAAGAAGAAGUUGAUAUUUUAAUGAGCAGUGAUAUUUAUUCUGCGACUUUAUCAACCAAAUCCAUUUCUUUCACUCGUGCCCAAACUGGAUGGCUUUUUCGGGAAGAUAAAACAGAAAGAGUAGGAAACUUUUUGGCAGACUUUUAUCUGGUGAAUGGACUUGUUCUAGAAUCAAGGAAAAGGAGGGAGCACCUGAGUGAGGAGGACAUCCUGCCGAACAAGGCCAUCAUGGAGAGCCUGAGCAAAGGGGGGAGCCUGGCGGAGCAGAGCUUUGAGCCGGUUAGAAGACAGUCCCUUACCCCUCCUCCUCAGAAGGGGAAGAAUACAUAUCCCCCGAAAAUGGAAAGGCACCACACCUGGGCAGAGAACUGGUGUGCAAAGAGAGCAAGAAAACAUUUAAAGCCACUGUAGCCAUGAGCCAGGAAUUUCCCCUGGGAAUUGAGUUAUUGUUGAAUGUUCUAGAAGUAAUAGCACCCUUCAAGCACUUUAACAAGCUUAGAGAAUUUGUUCAAAUGAAGCUUCCUCCAGGCUUUCCUGUAAAAUUAGAUAUACCCGUGUUUCCCACAAUCACAGCCACUGUGACUUUUCAGGAGUUCCGAUGUGAUGAAUUUGAUGGAUCCAUCUUUGCUAUCCCUGAAGACUACAAGGAAGACCCAAGUCGUUUUCCUGAUCUUUAACUGAUCUGGAAGAGCAUGAGGCUCCAGGUGGAAAAGGCAGAGCUUUUCUAAGCAGAGUGUCAACACAUCAGUGAUGUGAUGAAAAACUGACCUCUAAUAAAACAUCCACAGCUUCCUGA
Non-coding RNA from Mus caroli (Ryukyu mouse), 1461 nucleotides. The record is from RefSeq and is a predicted model, not a curated record. Lineage: Eukaryota; Metazoa; Chordata; Mammalia; Rodentia; Muridae.